Molecule: ribosomal RNA, 516 nt
Filed under: Lysinibacillus sp.
Lineage: Bacteria; Bacillati; Bacillota; Bacilli; Caryophanales; Bacillaceae
Description: bacterial SSU rRNA
Rfam family: Bacterial small subunit ribosomal RNA
Source: RNAcentral
GGCGGACGGGUGAGUAACACGUGGGCAACCUACCUUAUAGUUUGGGAUAACUCCGGGAAACCGGGGCUAAUACCGAAUAAUCUGUUCCACCUCAUGGUGGAACACUGAAAGACGGUUUCGGCUGUCGCUAUAAGAUGGGCCCGCGGCGCAUUAGCUAGUUGGUGAGGUAACGGCUCACCAAGGCGACGAUGCGUACCCGACCUGAGAGGGUGAUCGGCCACACUGGGACUGAGACACGGCCCAGACUCCUACGGGAGGCAGCAAUAGGGAAUCUUCCACAAUGGGCGAAAGCCUGAUGGAACAACGCCGCGUGAGUGAAGAAGGUUUUCGGAUCGUAAAACUCUGUUGUAAGGGAAGAACAAGUACAGUAGUAACUGGCUGUACCUUGACGGUACCUUAUUAAAAAGCCACGGCUAACUACGUGCCAGCAGCCGCGGUAAUACGUAGGUGGCAAGCGUUGUCCGGAAUUAUUGGGCGUAAAGCGCGCGCAGGCGGUCCUUUAAGUCUGAUGUGAAA